UGAGUACGAGAUGCUACGGCAUCGAAGCAGUCUAUGUCAUACUUCCAAGAAAAGCUUGCACUGUCAGAAACAGAUAAUGCCUGUACCAUAACCGACACAGGUGGGUAGGUAGAGUAUACUAAGGGGCGCGAGAUAACUCUCUCUAAGGAACUCGGCAAAAUGACUCCGUAACUUCGGGAGAAGGAGUGCCUUAUUUUUAAGGUUGCAAUAACAAGAUCCAAGCAACUGUUUACCAAAAACACAGGUCUCCGCUAAGUCGUAAGACGAUGUAUGGGGGCUGACGCCUGCCCAGUGCCAGAAGGUUAAAGAAGUCGGUUAGCAUUCGCGAAGCUGGUAACUGAAGCCCUGGUGAACGGCGGCCGUAACUAUAACGGUCCUAAGGUAGCGAAAUUCCUUGUCGGGUAAGUUCCGACCCGCACGAAAGGCGUAAUGAUUUGGAUACUGUCUCGGAGAGGGGCUCGGUGAAAUAGACUUGUCUGUGAAGAUGCGGACUACCUGCACCUGGACAGAAAGACCCUAUGAAGCUUUACUGUAACUUGAAAUUGAAAUUGGACUUUAUUUGCGCAGUAUAGGUGGGAGGCGUUGAAAAUAUUCUUGCGGGAAUAUUGGAGCCAUCAGUGAGAUACCACUCUUGUAAUGUUAGAUUUCUAACUUUAUAUCAUUAUCUGGUUAAAGAACAGUUUCAGGCGGGCAGUUUGACUGGGGCGGUCGCCUCCCAAAUGGUAACGGAGGCGCACAAAGGUUUCCUCUGAACGGGUAGAAAUCGUAUCUAGAGUGUAAAGGCAUAAGGAAGCUUGACUGUGAGACCUACAAGUCGAGCAGGGACGAAAGUCGGUCUUAGUGAUCUGACGGUGCUGAGUGGAAAGGCCGUCACUCAACGGAUAAAAGUUACUCUAAGGAUAACAGGCUGAUCUCCCCCAAGAGUUCACAUCGACGGGGAGGUUUGGCACCUCGAUGUCGGCUCAUCGCAUCCUGGGGCGGUAGUACGUCCCAAGGGUUGGGCUGUUCGCCCAUGAAAGCGGUACGCGAGCUGGGUUCAGAACGUCGUGAGACAGUUCGGUCCAUAUCCGGUGUAGGCGUUAGAAUAUUGAGAGGAGCCUUCUUUAGUACGAGAGGACCGAGAAGGACAUACCUCUGGUGUACCAGUUAUCGUGCCAACGGUAAACGCUGGGUAGCUAUGUAUGGAGUGGAUAACCGCUGAAAGCAUCUAAGUGGGAAGCCCACCUCAAGAUAAG
This 1235-nucleotide ribosomal RNA is filed under the name metagenome. RNAcentral's name for it is "bacterial LSU rRNA". It matches the Rfam family "Bacterial large subunit ribosomal RNA", at positions 1564 to 2808 of the family's 2925-position model. The record is from RNAcentral.